RNAcentral lists this ribosomal RNA (465 nucleotides) under uncultured bacterium. Its description in RNAcentral is "bacterial SSU rRNA". It matches the Rfam family "Bacterial small subunit ribosomal RNA", at positions 28 to 507 of the family's 1533-position model. The record is from RNAcentral.
GACGAACGCUGGCGGCGUGCUUAACACAUGCAAGUCGAACGGUGACGAGGAGCUUGCUCCUCCGAUCAGUGGCGAACGGGUGAGUAACACGUGAGCAACCUGCCCCAGACUCUGGGAUAACAGUUGGAAACAGCUGCUAAUACCGGAUACGAGACGGAGAGGCAUCUCUACCGUCUGGAAAGUUUUCGGUCUGGGAUGGACUCGCGGCCUAUCAGCUAGUUGGUGAGGUAAUGGCUCACCAAGGCGACGACGGGUAGCCGGCCUGAGAGGGCGACCGGCCACACUGGGACUGAGACACGGCCCAGACUCCUACGGGAGGCAGCAGUGGGGAAUAUUGCACAAUGGGCGAAAGCCUGAUGCAGCGACGCCGCGUGAGGGAUGACGGCCUUCGGGUUGUAAACCUCUUUCAGCAGGGAAGAAGCGCAAGUGACGGUACCUGCAGAAGAAGCACCGGCUAACUACGUG